AUCAUAGUACAAAUAAAAAAAAUUAUGUCACAUAUGAUCGACCAGUUAGCAACUCCGACGAACUAAAGCAUGCCACGUGGCAAGGUAAGCUGACAUCGGUGCCACACAGGCGAUCCGCACGCUCCUCGAUCAAACGGCCUAGGAUUAAUAUCGCGCGUGUGGACGGCCUGAAUUUGUUUUCCCUUUAAAUGCGAUCGGACAAUUGAGAUCAAAUCGCAAUAAACAGUCCAGAUUAAUUUUCUCCGUAGAUGCGAUCGGACGGUCAAGAUCAAAUCGUAAUAGACAGUCUAUAUUCAUUUGCUUAUUAGGCGCGAUCGGACGGAUGAAAUCGAUUUUGGUGGACGACUCAGAUCAAAGCAGGAUAGGUAUAAAUGUAACGGCCCCGGAAAUUAAAAUGAAACG
RNAcentral lists this long non-coding RNA (402 nucleotides) under Carica papaya (papaya). Its description in RNAcentral is "long non-coding RNA (CPAP_LNC007549)". The record is from RNAcentral. Lineage: Eukaryota; Viridiplantae; Streptophyta; Magnoliopsida; Brassicales; Caricaceae.